UGCUGAAUUAUUACAUAGAUCGGAGUUUUUGAGUAGCAAAUAAGAGUUCACAAAAUAAAAUGCAGCGGAUAAUCGAUGUCGUCGGUAUCGAGGAAAUGGGCAAGGCCUAGCCCACUACUCCUCGUGCUCCUCUCCUGCCUGAGCAACAUCCCACUCGACCGUCCAACCCGGUGGCAGGGUGGUAGGCCAAGUCACACCAUCAACCAUUUCCUGAAUGGUACCUGCAAAAAUUAUGCCACAAGCAAGGCUGAGUAUACUAAUACUCAGCUAGACUUAACCGGUGUGAGGAGUCUACUCCUCUACCUCUAGACUAUGUAGCUGUUUGGCUGAGGGGUUUGGUUUGCCAAAAGCACUAGCUGUUUCUAAAAUCAAUUUUUAGCUUUUCAAAUUCUAUCCUCAUUAACUUAGCUAGAUUUGCUCCUUCUAAGCAUACAUGGUAACAAGCAUUUAGUUCAAUCAACAAAUUAUCUCAGGUAACCUCAUUUCACUUCUUACUCGAUGUAGUACAAGGGAUCAAGCAGUCUCAUUAGCUGCGAGAAGCAGACGAUCCGAAUCGAGUUUUAACCUUGCAAGGUAAACCUAAACACACGGCAUGUCAGGGUACUCCGACCCCACACAUGACAACCGUCCCCAUCGAUUCCCCGUUCGCGUCCAGGCCUCACCCCCUUGGCAUACAAUGCUCCACUGACCCCGGCUGCCGCCGUGCAGUGACCGCACUUGUACCCACUAUAGCUAGCAUGGGAGACCCAGUCUCAGGUCGCAUGAGGGAUAAAGUCCGCACCCGGCUUCACUCAGGUACUAGGUUUACCGGUUACCAUUUUUCCCGGCAUGUGCUUAGUACGUUCAAAAGCUUGACUCAAGUAUCCACACAUUAAUCCUUAAUUCCUUUUUCCCGUCUCAUGGACAAGGCAUCCUCCCUGGAUCCAAGUCCCUAGACUAACAUAUAUCCCGUUAUCAAGAUGAAUACAAUCAAUUCCUGACCUCGCGCGAGUGCUAGAAAAAUCACUCGACUUCUACCGAGAUCCUGAUUAGCAAGCAACUACUCGACCUAGCAUACUAGUAUUCAUCUCAAAAAGGAAUCCUAAGUUCAUGCAACUAGAGGUUUCAAGCAACUCCUACACUUAAGUGCACAUUACAAUCCUACAAGCAUUAAGUGUAGUAAAGUAGCAUAUAAUAAUACGGUUAAGCAUAAAACCGGGGCUUGCCUUCAAUUGCUGGGGCUGCAGGGAGAUCCUCAAUAGCAGCCUCGGAAGCUUGCUCCUGGUCCUCCUCUUGGACAGAUCCUUGCUCGGGGAUGAGCACGUACUCUCCAUCGGCAAGAUUACAAUCUAAUGAAUGCAAUGCGUAAGAUACAUGCAUGAUAUGAUAGGUGCUUUAGAAAUUACAACUUUUGACGGUGUAUGAUCUACUUGAGUUAAACAAGGUUAACUUUACUUAUGUAAGACCCUUGGGUGGUAUACUUGGUAAAUUGGGUCAAACUUUAUCUAAGGUAAGUGGUAGGUUUAUUUUUGGGGUUCCACUGAAUUCUUUUUAAGCCUUAGUGAGAAUUGAUAAGUACUCAAAUUAGACUUAUUGGGGUGAGGUUUAUUUCUUCUUUCCUUUUCUUUUAUUCUCUUUAAUGUUUUGGAGUGGGUUUGGAACUACAAGUUGCUUUAAUAAAAUUCCAAAAAUUCUGCAAAAAUUACAGUGGCUUGGUACUGGUGUAUAUUUCUAUUUCUCAAAAUUUGGGGAUCAUAAAGUGAAUAGUUUCCUCUGGACAAAAUUAUCAAAGUUUAGGGCAGAAGGGGUGCUUUGAACUACAACUAUUAUUUAACAGUGGGUAAUUCUCUAAAACUUAUUUUUGCUAGCUUUUAGGUGCUAUAACAUGACUUGAUACAAAUUUCUAGCCAUUAAUACCUUUUAGCUAUUUUACUAUGGUUUUCUCAAGUUUCUAGCCAAAUAGGUGCUUUCUACUACCACUAUAUUUGAAAAAUAUCAAACAACAGAGUUCUUAUUUUUCUUAGUUUUUGUUUUGCGCAAGAGCAAUCAUUCUGAAGUUUGGCAUCUUUUUGCUUAAGGGAAAGGGUGGUAUGCAUUAUUUGGAUUAAGUGGCCUUUCUCAUAAUUCAUUAGCAAUAGAUAUGAGUUUGCUCCUUUUUCAUGGGUUUGCAUUUUUCUCUGGUGGUUUAUCUCAUUAUGGACUUAGCAAAUUUUUUGGUUGCCCAUUAUUACAUCAUUAGGGGUUGUUCAUGAUUUAUUUGGAAAAUGCCUCAUUAUCAUUUUAUAUUUAUUUUUCUUACUUAAAAUGUUGGGCUGAGGUGUUCAUUUUUGUUGCAGUGGGGCUCUGAUGGUUGUAAGUCCACUGGAUUUUUAUUAUCCAUUUUGGGCAUAGUUUUGUAAUUCUACUAAUUGAUUUUCAGUUCAAAUAACGCUAAAUAAAACAUUUUAAUUUAAAACUGAUCUGGACUAAUGGUCUCUUUAUUUUUCCUAGGUUCUUUGUUACUUAAGCAAACCAGGAAAAAUAAUUCUGAUCAUUGUUCAUUAAUUUCUAAUGCCUUUCUGAUUUUUCCUAAGUUUUGGGCAAAAUAGCUUUAAAUGAAAAUCUACACUAUAUUCUUCAAUACUGGGGUUCCUACUAUUUUUAAACAGUGCUUAAGUGAGGUUUGAACAUCUACAAAUUUUCUUAGGUUCAGCACAGAAGAAAAACUAAUUUUCCUUAAUUAAACAAGGUUUGGUCAGUUUCUGUUUUUAAUUUUAAACUCUAAAAUUUAGAACAGAAAGCAUAGGGUUUAUCAUUUUUAAAUGAUAGUUCAUAAUAUUUAGGAUCUAGCAAAAUUAGUUUGACAACUUUUGAUUAAGAAUUCAUCAAGUUAUGGAUUUUCUAAGUUCUCUGGUCAUUUAAAAAGAUUAACAGAAUUGAUUAAAUGGAAAACUACUUUGCACUGGGGUCCCUGGCGGGUGUUUUAAGUUUUCUUCGCGGAUCAGUCCCUGGGCUACUAUUCAAAUGAGUCACUAACGUUACAGAAAACCCCUCGGGUUCUUCUAAUCCUAACCCGAGGUCCUUCUCCUAACUUAAACAGUAACCGCGGCGGAAGAAAGGGCGGAGGGGCUUACCGGCGGCGAGAUUGCUCCGGUGAAGUGGUCGAGGAUGUAGGGGAGGUCUCGGGGAUCACAACGGUGUGCGGGUCGCCGUCGGGGAUGGUCGGAGUUGGCCGGUCCACGUGCGCAGGCGGGGAUGCUCGUCGGCAGCGAGGAGUCUGGCCUGCUCACGGCGAGAUAGUUCAAUUGAACGGGUCAGAGAGCUUCACGGGAUGCCAGAGAAGAUGUGGGUGCAAGGAAUUGGACAAAGACUCACUGGUUAGCUCUGUCCACGCGCAGUGGCAGAAGACCGAAGUCCGGUGAAGUCGAUCUCGGGCUUCCGGUGAAGUCCGGCCUGGUCCGAGGGCUUGGAAAGCUUCACGGGCCACUAGCGGAGCUAGCCGAAGCACUGGCUCGACUUGGGGGUGGCUGGAGUGGGCUGGCCACGAUGGCCGAAGCUCUGGCGGCAAUGGCGGGCAGAAAUGAGCUCAUCGGAGCUAAGGAGGGGUGGCUGGCCGGUGCUGGUGAGCGCGGGGUGAAGUGAGGCGCGCCCGGGGAGGCUUUAUAGGCGCGGGCGAGCACGGCCGAGGGCGGGGCUCUGACAAGCGCUCGGGGCGUGCGCGGCGAACGCCAGUGCGCGCUCUGGCGCCUGGCACAGCGUCGAGCACGAGGCAGCGCAGAGAGAGGUCAAGUUCAAGCGCGGAUUGGGCCCAAAUCUUUGAGAUUAUGGCCAUGAUCCCGUUGAGAGAUCUCUUCCUCUCAGGUCCCUUUGUCGUUUGUGUGUGGAGGCUAGCAAGUUUCGCUGACUUGAUUAAGAGAUAGAGAGGGGAGAAAUCUUGUUUGUCUCACUUCCACACACAGGGAGAAGAUCUCUGGUUUGACGUGUCCGAGGCACGCGUCCCAAUGCCAUCUCCUGGCACAUGACAGAGGGGUUAGUUAGGCACAUUUUUGUUAAUGGGGCCAUUAGGAUUCGAGUUAGGGAUCAAGGUGAACAUGCUUGAUCUUUGGCUCAAGGUCUAAAUUUCAGAAUUCUGAAAUUCAGAAUUCCCAUUAAGUCCCCACAUGAGAAGCUUGAUUUGGGGUUUUAUUUGAGUUGUUUUGGCCAAGCUUUCUCAACCUUUCUUGUUGCUUAAUGAAUAUACUUCAAUGUUUAUAAUUGGCUCAAGCCAUGAUUUUAAAUUUUUCAUACCCUUUUCCUUAUUUUCUUGAAUUUUGCUCAUGGGGCUCACUUAGGGUUUUUAUUAGGGUUGCAACAUUAUUACCUUUUUGAAAGACCCAUUUGUUUUGAUCAUGAUACUUUUAAGUAUAUGCUUGGUAGAUUCUUUACUCUUAAGUUAAUUUGAUGCUCAUGCUUACUUUGGUUCACAUAAAAUGAUGGUUCUUGGUUUGGCAUUUUAAGAGAAACCCUAGGUGACACUGGGGUGUCACACAUAUGAUGUAGAAUUUAAAUCCGCUGUGCUUUACAUUUGCAUACUCAUAAGAUCUGUGCUUCUCCUGUCUGUAGAAUAACUGUGUACAUGCUAGGGGCAAACUUGUUAGAAUCUCUGUUUGUUUUGUCAUUUAAUCACCAAAACCCUCAAUUAGGGUUGAUUGCACUUACACUAAGAUUUGUCUGCCUCUCAAUGUCUCUUUGAAAUAUUGGACCAUAUGUGACAUGAGGAUGAAAGAGUCUACGCCUAAGCCAUGCAAACAACCAACAAGAUAUAGCAACAAUCAAUGUCGAUGCUCUCAACUUCAGCAAAUGACGAUUUGGACCCAACAUAUUUGAAUAAAUAAGAUAAGGGGAUUGUUGAAUGAGAAAAAAAUGUACUCUGCUCAAAUUGAAAAAAACAAGCUAGAGUUGCUACAUCUAAUGAUGUUCCUCCAAACUGGCUUGGUAAGAUCACUACUCUGCUCAGAUUGAAAAAAACAAGCCACGGUUGCUACAUCUAAUGAUGUUCCUCCAAAUUGGCUUGGUAACAUCACUAAAAAAUUGUACUAUGCUCAGAUUGAAAAAAAUCACUAAGAAAUUGAGAUCUACUCAGAUUGAACAAAAAAUAUCACUGAAAAUUUGUGGUCUGCUCAGAUUGAAAAAAAACAUCACUCAAAAAUUGUGGUCUGCUCAGAUUUACAGAAAACAUCACUGAGAACUGGUCCUAAGCUCAGACUUUAAUUAAUUUCAUCACUCGAAAACGAUCAGGAUAAAAAGAAGAGAGUUAUAGAGGUAGCUGCAUAAUAAAAUGCAUUAACCACCUGCAUAGUAUAAAAAGAAUAUAGGUAUGGAGGUAGCUGCAUAAUAUAAUGCAUUAACUACCUACAUAGUAUAAUGUAUUAACUAAAUGGAUUAACACAAGGUAAGUUUGUUGUAAGGGAAGAGGAAAACAGGAUCAGAUGAAGGUAAGAGGGGGAGAAGAAAAAAGGAACAACUAACUACUUAAUAUAAUAGACAGAUUAUGCUAAUUGCAUAAUCCAUCACAAAUAAGCAUGUACACUUAACUGAACAUAAAAUCAUGACAUCAUUUUAUAAAAUGAACAUAAGGGCAUAACAUUAUUUUACAAAUAAGAAAAAUAUUAUUAAGUGUAGUUCAACACAUCACAAAUAAAAACAUUAUUUUUAAGUUCAGUUAAAAGUCAAGAAUAGACAUGCAUAUUCUUCUUAAGCACAUCACAAAUAAGCACAUUAUUCUUAAGUAUAUUUCAGUACAUCACAAAUAAGCAUGUACCUAACUAAACAUAAAAUCAUGACAUCAUUAUUUUACAAAUAAGCACACUAUUUAUUAAGUCAUAGCUCUCUCCAUUUUAAGUUCAGUUAAGCCAAGAAUAAUUAGCACAUAUUUUUAUACUAUGCAUGUAGUUAAGUGUCACACCCGGUUUUGGAGGUAAACCGAAUGCGAACUAUGUACGUGCCAGGAUCAGAAAUUCACGUACACAGCGAUUACAUAAAUGACUCAUCAUAGCACAAUGCUUCGUAUUACAAUAAAGAGUAAGUAAUGAUAUUAAAGACUAGAGUCAUUUACAUAAUAUAAAUCAAAGUACACAGAAUCGAAACGUAGCUAACGUAAAUAAACCCACCACAGGCAGCUGACUGGGGGAGGUCGCUAGCCUAAUCCUCGAACUCGUCGACGUCGUGGAACUACCAGAGAUCCGCCUCGACAUCGUUCUCCUUCUUCUUUACCUGAGCAUAGAUUGCACCAAAGGCAACCUGGUGUUUUGUGAAAGCAAGGGUGAGUACACAUCAACGUACUCAGCAAAUGUCCCGUUUGGCUGUAGUGGACUAGCUUUAUGUGGGGUUAAGUCAAGCAGUUGCUUUUAGUUGGUCAGGUUAUUAUUACUAGUAGAAAGCCAGGUUUUAGCAUUAACCCAAGUUCUUAACCCAAAGUACCCUUUCCAAACGGAAAGAAUACCACUUACCAUUACCAUAGUCAUAAUCAUAACCAUCCUUCUCAUCACCACAUGUAAACCAUAUAUCUCUGAUCAAGUAUCUCUAAUCAAAGAGGAUCCCAAGGCCGCUCAUAACCGUGAGCACGGCUGAUAUAUCAGUUUCAUUACCCUCUGCAGAGGUCGCACACUUUACCCAUGAGCCGUGAUUCCCGUUUUGCCCGGGGAUCAUGACUCCCCAUUGAUCACUUCCUAGGUGGUCCGGCAGGGUAUCACUACGUAGCUUUUACAAAGAUUCCCUAGAGGUCAUAGUCGCCCGUUAGGUUUCUCCAGUUUGAUAAACACAGUACUCCUCCCCGCAGGAGGGUGACUAACAAAAGCAAAACGAAAGGACCUCGGCACCCAGCCUCGGCAGAGCAAGCACUGUGCCUGGACCCCAUUAACGGCACGACGGCGAAGCGACUACACCUCUAGUUCCUCUAAUUAAUUAGCUAAGGGCACCCCAUUCCACCCUCAUGGUUGCACUGUUAUCCCGGGUGGUCUCUCAACGAACAGGUCCUUACGGAGAGGUACUCAGGAAACAGCCUGAGUCCCCUAAAUGCCACAAGUAUAUCAUCAUAUCCAGGAUAAAAUCAUAGUAUCAUCGUUGCAUCUCAUCAUGUUCAUUGAUUAAAGUAAAGCGCUAGCAUGAAGCUAACCAUAGUAGCCCAAAAGGUAAUCAAGGACCAGGUAAAUAGAAAGCUAGUAAAUCCUUAGGUUUCAAUUAAGUAGUGCAGGACAGUGAAUUAUAAAUAGAUAGGACAUAAUGGGUCAGAGGACACUUGCCUUCACCAAACAGAUGCUCAGGGUCUUCAACCUCGUGGAACUCGAAUAGCUAGAUUACUUGGUCGCCGAAGCUUGGCCAUCGAUUCCUCGAAGCUCGGAAAUGGAUCGCAGUCUAUUCACGACGCACAACGAAUACAAACAGGCACAAACAAACAAUCAUAUAUAUGCAUAAGAACAUUACACCAUUCAAGUAAAACAUAAUAAAAUAUGCAAAAUAGAAUAUAGUGUGUUACUACGGUCACACGAGGACAAAGAAACGCGAUAGUUGGAGAUAUGGUCGAGAAGUUAACGGGUUUACGCUAAGCAAAUAUUAAUUGGAAUAUUUAAUCUGAUAUCUCUAUAUUAAUUGAUAUUAAUUAAAUGUAAAUUAACACUACUACUUAGUUCUUGUCUAACCUAACAUUUUAAUAGUUGAUGGUCAAAUAAGUAACUAAUUAAUUCACAUGAGUAAUUAUAAACGAAUGGUUUAAUCUCGCGUGCGGCAAGGCGCGUGACACACGCGAACGGUGCGCGACAACGCGCGAGUAGCAUGAUAGCGCGCGAACGAUGCAUGACGACGUACGAACACGCGCGAUCCUCAUGCGCGACACGCGAGAAUCACUAGCAGAUAUCAUGUUUAUACUAAGUGAGUAUUAGUUGAAAAACAUUUGAGUAUACAUUAAUCACGUAUAUUUAUACAAGCACAAAUUAAAACUACAAUUUAGUUUUAAUCAAAUUGCUAUUUUAAUGACUAACGGAUAAACAAACAAACAAUUAAUUAAUUUAUUAAACUUGCGUCUAACAGAAUAAAUCGUUAAAUAUUAUAUAUCUAAAAAGUUAAACAAACCUUUAUAAUGGGACUACGGAUAGAGUACUUGGAUGUGCAUGAUACGUAUACAAAUACCCCGUCUCUUAUACCAUUGUGCAGCAAGCUAUCAACAGGAAAUUAUCACGUUGCCUGAGACUUGCCGAUACGUAUCUAUAUGGAGUACAUACAACACUCGGCUACCUUUGUCUGCCAACGGCAGGGGGGUCGCUCGGCCAGCAGGGGCCAUGCCGGCUCGCCAUGGCCGGCUCCCUGUUGUGCAUUGCAGGCACUGCGAGGGACAGCGAGGUUGGCCGGAAUGCAGGUUUGGGACGUGCAGACGACAUCCAUGGCCUAGGCUCGUGCUUGUACCAAGGGGCUUCGGCGAGGUGUGGGAAUGAGACUAGGGGGGUUGGCUGGACGGAUCCGUCGGCAAUGGGCUUCGAGACAGGCGUCCGUGGGAGGGGCUUCGUUGGGGGAAAGGGCUGCUACACGUCGCCGGAAGGAAAAGGGAGAAGAGAAGGCUUACCUGCGUCGCCGGUAACCGAACGGGCAUGCUCGUGUGAUCUGGGUCUCGGGAAAUCGGAGGCGGUUUGGCGAUUGGAAACAAGAGGAGGGAUGUCCCCGUACCUGGUAAGUGUUGCCCUUCACGGCCUGCGAUCUGGAUCUAGGCGAGACGAGGGGUUAUGCGACGGCUAGGGAUGUUUUUAUAGACAAGAUAGGAUGCGAAAGGCGGUUGCAAAAUUUGUCGCAGAUCACGUCCUGGUCGAGCGAAAGAGAC
RNAcentral lists this long non-coding RNA (8803 nucleotides) under Zea mays. RNAcentral's name for it is "long non-coding RNA (ZMAY_LNC001817)". Lineage: Eukaryota; Viridiplantae; Streptophyta; Magnoliopsida; Poales; Poaceae. The record is from RNAcentral.